Molecule: ribosomal RNA, 558 nt
Filed under: Triticum aestivum (bread wheat)
Lineage: Eukaryota; Viridiplantae; Streptophyta; Magnoliopsida; Poales; Poaceae
Description: partial small subunit ribosomal RNA
Source: RNAcentral
AAAGAAUUCAUAGAUUUUACCUUCUCUAUGCCAAGUGUAGUCCAGAAUGGAAAGAUUAAGUGUCCGUGUGCUAAAUGUCGAAACUAUGAGAGCAAGAACAGGGAUGAUGUAGAGUUAGAUCUGUGUCAUUUUGGUUUCAAGCGGAAUUAUACUGUUUGGACUACACAUGGCGAAGGGCAUGUCGAAAUUACAAACUAUAUAGAUGCUGCGGAGGCUGAUCGGAUGGACACUAUGCUGAAUGAUCUAGCUGCGCGUGCCCCCCCAAUUGAACAACAACCAAUAGCUUCAGCCCAAGCUUUCUAUAGAAUGAUUGAUAGUGUAAAAGAGUUGGUGCAUGAAAAUACAAGCCACUCAACUAUGUCUGCCAUAGCACGGUUGUUGACAAUAAAGUCACAACACAAUCAACCUGAAUCUUGUUAUAAUGAUACACUACAACUGAACCAUGAGCUGCUGCCUAACAAUUCCUCACUGCCAAAGGACUUCUAUAGGUCAAAGAAAUUGCUAGAGGGUCUUGGUAUGCCAUAUCAUAAAAUUCAUGUUUGUCCCAAAAAUUGCAUG